AUGUUUUUUCAUUUGUUUAGUAAUCCGAAUUAUAAUGAUUUUAUUUUUAGUACCACGAAAGAAAAUAAUUUUUCUUUUACUUUAGGUGCUAUAGAUUUAAAUAAAUUUGUUAAUAAAAAAAAAAAAUCUUGCAUCAAUUCAACAAUACGUGAAAAUUCUUGUUAUGAUGGAGAUACAAAAUAUUUAUUUAAUUUUUCAAAAGAAAAAAAUGAAAUAUUAGGUACAUCAACUCGUAUUUUGUCACAUUUUAGUAUUUUUAAUUCUGAAUAUAUUGCUUAUUCAUCUUAUGGUAAUACAAAAGAAGAAAAAUAUGUAUUAUGUUUAUUAGGGAUAGAUUCUUUUUUUAAACCUACUUUUAAAAAAGAAAUAUAUGCAUUUACUAGUGAAAUAAAUUAUUUUAAAUUAUUUCCAUCUAUGCAGGAUAAUUACUACAAUACCAACACCACCUCCAAUAAUGAUGAUUAUUGUGUAACUGAUGGUUAUUCAUAUCAUCAUAAUAAUAAAAUUGAUAAAAUUUUUAUUUGUGGUUCUUAUCCAUGUUUUAGUUUUUAUACAUUAAAAGAUUCAGUUCCUUAUUGUAUAUGGGAUAGUAAAAAGUUGAAAGUUCAUGAUUUAUUAUUAAAUGAGAAUGCCACACAUUAUGUUGAUGAUAUAUUGGAUAUAGAACCACGACAUACUACUUUUAAUAACAUAACACAAGGUAAUUAUUUUUUAAAAAAAAUGAAAUAUAAUUAUUCAAAAAAGAGAAAAGAAAAAGGAGAAAAUGAAACGAACGAUAAUGUAAUAUAUCGUAUGGAUGAAAUAUUGGUAAAACAAAUACUAAAAGAGGAGCAACUAAAUGCACAAAAUUGUAAUAAAUACAAAAAAUCAAAUAUGUUUCCACCACACCAUGAUGAAUACAGUCACAAAUAUGAUAAUAGUAAGUAUGAUAGUAGUAAUAGCUACACUAGCAGUGUUAGUAGUAUUAGUAAUAAAAAAAAAUAUACCAAUAAACGAAAAUAUUACUACAGUAAAGAUAAUACAACUAUUACUAAUGGUAUCAACUGUCAUGACUUUGGUAGUGGUACUAUAAAUAAUACACAAAACUUGAAUGUAUCACAAACACAAACAUCGAAAAAAAGAUAUAACAAUAAUAGUCACAAUAAUAAUAGUAGUAAUAGUUGUAACAAUAACUCCUACAAAAUGCUUAACAAUAUGAACAAUCGUUUGAUUAAAAACUAUAACAAAAAAACAUCAAGUGUUAUGACUCAUUUAAAUGAAAAAGGAAAAAAUAAAAAUAAUAAUUCAAUUAAUUAUUACAAUACUACAUCAUAUAUGUCUGCGAAAUAUAAUUAUAAUGAUAAUAAAAAAAAAGGAAUAUGUUGUGAGAGUAUAAAAAAAAAUAAUAAUAAUAUAUUUUUAUGUUGUAAUACAGAAUAUACAUAUUUAGUUGAUUUACGAUGUAACUAUUUAAAUACAAUAUCUCAUCUAAAACCAGAAGAAGGAUUAGUAAAUAAAAUUUAUUCAUUAAAUAAUAAUUAUUAUCAAUAUAUUUUAUCAAAAACGAAUAAUCAAAUAGGAUUAUAUGAUAUGCGUUAUAUAUCCCCUUCUAAACAUAAUGACGAAUUUAAAAGUAAUUUAAUUACAACAUAUGAAAGAUUUAUAGAUAAUACUAAUUUAAAAAAAUAUAUGAACGAUUUUUAUGUUAUUGAUAAUGAACAAUAUAUUGUUUCAUUAGAUACAUAUACCGACACUGUUUAUUUAUAUAAUAUUCAAAAUACAUUAAAUAAAAAAAUGGUUUUAACCGAUAUGCAUUCAUAUUCAUGUCUUGAAAAUAAACAAAACUUAAUAAACAAUUAUACGAAUUUAUCAAAAAUCCCAUAUAUUUUUACUUCUCCCCAAAAUGAAGAUAAUUAUCAUUAUUAUUAUAAAAGAAAAAUUAAUGAAGGAAAAACACAUAUUAACAAUCAUAUGAAUAAUUUUAAUUUAUUAGAAUCUUAUCCCAAAACAGGUUUAUUUAUAGAAUUAAACAUUCAAUCAAUUUUACCGCUUUUUUAUAUUAAACAAAAUUAUAGUAAAUAUAAUUUUAUUUCAAUUAGAAAUGGUGAUUAUGUUUGUACUAUAAAUAUAUAA
Long non-coding RNA from Piliocolobus tephrosceles (Ugandan red Colobus), 2112 nucleotides. Lineage: Eukaryota; Metazoa; Chordata; Mammalia; Primates; Cercopithecidae. The record is from Ensembl.